CAAGACGUAGCUUAAUAAAAGCAUUCAGCUUACGCCUGAAAGAUAUCUGCCCACAUCAGAUCGUCUUGA
Molecule: transfer RNA, 69 nt
Filed under: Phylloscopus affinis (white-spectacled warbler)
Lineage: Eukaryota; Metazoa; Chordata; Aves; Passeriformes; Phylloscopidae
Also listed under: 1 other name
Description: tRNA-Val
Source: RNAcentral